GNGANUAAUGCCUAGGAAUCUGCCUAGUAGUGGGGGACAACGUUUCGAAAGGAACGCUAAUACCGCAUACGUCCUACGGGAGAAAGUGGGGGAUCUUCGGACCUCACGCUAUUAGAUGAGCCUAGGUCGGAUUAGCUAGUUGGUAGGGUAAAGGCCUACCAAGGCGACGAUCCGUAACUGGUCUGAGAGGAUGAUCAGUCACACUGGAACUGAGACACGGUCCAGACUCCUACGGGAGGCAGCAGUGGGGAAUAUUGGACAAUGGGCGAAAGCCUGAUCCAGCCAUGCCGCGUGUGUGAAGAAGGCCUUCGGGUCGUAAAGCACUUUAAGUUGGGAGGAAGGGCUCAUAGCGAAUACCUGUGAGUUUUGACGUUACCAACAGAAUAAGCACCGGCUAACUUCGUGCCAGCAGCCGCGGUAAUACGAAGGGUGCAAGCGUUAAUCGGAAUUACUGGGCGUAAAGCGCGCGUAGGUGGCUUGAUAAGUUGGAUGUGAAAUCCCCGGGCUCAACCUGGGAACUGCAUCCAAAACUG
RNAcentral lists this ribosomal RNA (533 nucleotides) under Pseudomonas sp. LBB1. RNAcentral describes it as "bacterial SSU rRNA". It matches the Rfam family "Bacterial small subunit ribosomal RNA", at positions 106 to 635 of the family's 1533-position model. The record is from RNAcentral. Lineage: Bacteria; Pseudomonadati; Pseudomonadota; Gammaproteobacteria; Pseudomonadales; Pseudomonadaceae.